AAACUUUCAACAACGGAUCUCUUGGCUCUGGCAUCGAUGAAGAACGUAGCGAAAUGCGAUAAGUAAUGCGAAUUGCAGAAUUCAGUGAAUCAUCGAAUCUUUGAACGCACAUUGCGCCCGCCAGCACUCUGGCGGGCAUGCCUGUCCGAGCGUCAUUU
Molecule: ribosomal RNA, 158 nt
Filed under: Jattaea algeriensis
Lineage: Eukaryota; Fungi; Ascomycota; Sordariomycetes; Calosphaeriales; Calosphaeriaceae
Description: 5.8S ribosomal RNA
Rfam family: 5.8S ribosomal RNA
About the family: 5.8S ribosomal RNA (5.8S rRNA) is a component of the large subunit of the eukaryotic ribosome.
Source: RNAcentral